Molecule: small nuclear RNA, 108 nt
Organism: Sceloporus undulatus (fence lizard)
Lineage: Eukaryota; Metazoa; Chordata; Lepidosauria; Squamata; Phrynosomatidae
Source: RefSeq, a predicted model, not a curated record
GUGCUCGCUUCGGCAGCACAUAUACUAAAAAUUGAAACGAUACAGAGAAGAUUAGCAUGGCCCCUGCACAAGGAUGACACACAAAUUACAAAGAAAAUUGUAAUCUUA